UACAGAGGGGGCAAGCGUUAUUCGGAAUUAUUGGGCGUAAAGGGCGCGUAGGCGGCCUUGCAAGUGACGGGUGAAAUCCCUCGGCUUAACCGAGGAACUGCCUGUCAGACUGCAUGGCUUGAGACCAGGAGAGGUGAGUGGAAUUCCCAGUGUAGCGGUGAAAUGCGUAGAUAUUGGGAGGAACACCAGUGGCGAAGGCGGCUCACUGGACUGGUACUGACGCUGAGACGCGAAAGCGUGGGGAGCGAACAGG
Molecule: ribosomal RNA, 253 nt
Filed under: uncultured bacterium
Lineage: Bacteria
Description: partial 16S ribosomal RNA
Rfam family: Bacterial small subunit ribosomal RNA
Source: RNAcentral